This 468-nucleotide ribosomal RNA is filed under the name uncultured bacterium. Its description in RNAcentral is "partial 16S ribosomal RNA". It matches the Rfam family "Bacterial small subunit ribosomal RNA", at positions 28 to 507 of the family's 1533-position model. The record is from RNAcentral.
GACGAACGCUGGCGGCGUGCUUAACACAUGCAAGUCGAACGGAAGGACCCUGCGUUUGUGGGGUGCUCGAGUGGCGAACGGGUGCGUAACACGUGUGUAACCUGCCCUUGACUUUGGGAUAACUUCAGGUAACUGGGGCUAAUACCGGAUAGGAGAUCCUGUUGCAUGGUGGGGGUUGGAAAGUUUCGGCGGUUGGGGUUGGAUGGGCGGCUUAUCGGCUUGUUGGUGGGCGAGGGGCUUACCAAGGCAUUGACGGAUAGGCCGCCUGAGAGGGUGGCCGGGCACCAUGGGACUGAGGGACGGCCCAGACUGCUACGGUGGGCAGCAGGGGGGAAUCUUGUACAGUGGGCCGAAGCCGGAUGCGGCAACGCCGCGGGCGGGAAGACGGCCUUCGGGGUGUAAACCGCUGCCGCCUGUGACGAAGCGUGAGUGACGGUAAUGGGUGAAGAAGCACCGGCUAACUACGUG